This 92-nucleotide ribosomal RNA is filed under the name Psychrobacillus sp. OK032. The record is from RNAcentral. Lineage: Bacteria; Bacillati; Bacillota; Bacilli; Caryophanales; Bacillaceae.
ACACCCGUUCCCAUACCGAACACGGAAGUUAAGCUCUUUUGCGCCGAUGGUAGUUGGGGGAUUCCCCCUGUGAGAGUAGGACGUCGCUGGGC